GAUGAACGCUAGCGGCAGGCUUAAUACAUGCAAGUCAAGGGGGUAGCAAUACAACCGGCGCACGGGUGAGUAACGCGUACACAACAUGCCAUAUACUGGGGUAUAGCUUUGGGAAACUGAAGGUAAUCCCCCAUAACAUUGCGAGAGGGCAUCUGAUUGCAAUUAAAGUUUCGGCGGUAUAUGAUUGGUGUGCGUUUGAUUAGCUAGUUGGUAGGGUAACGGCCUACCAAGGCGACGAUCAAUAGCUGGCGUGAGAGCGCGACCAGCCACACUGGAACUGAGACACGGUCCAGACUCCUACGGGAGGCAGCAGUAGGGAAUAUUGGACAAUGGAGGAAACUCUGAUCCAGCCAUGCCGCGUGAUAGAUGAAGGCCCUCUGGGUUGUAAAUAUCUUUUAUCUGGGAAGAAACUCCUCUAUUCUUAGAGGCCUGGCGGUACCAGAGGAAUAAGCACCGGCUAAACUCCGUGCCAGCAGCCGCGGUAAU
Molecule: ribosomal RNA, 486 nt
Filed under: uncultured bacterium
Lineage: Bacteria
Description: bacterial SSU rRNA
Rfam family: Bacterial small subunit ribosomal RNA
Source: RNAcentral